UCUCAUUUCUAACAUUAAACCUUAACCCCCUUUCUCCCUACCUAGCUCCCAAUUACAAACUCUUUCUUACGCAAUUUGUUAUAAUCACAGCGCUCAAACAACACAAAAUAAAGAGAUGGGCUUGAUUUCAACAGUUCUUCUGUUCCAGUAUUCCAUGAAAUUUACUGCAAUCAAACGAAAGCAACACUCUCUGAUUCUUCUAAUUGCCUAAAAUUGAAGGAAUGGAAGAAACAGGGCUGAAGCAAGAUCCACUACCCAAAAA
Populus euphratica (Euphrates poplar) is the source of this 262-nucleotide long non-coding RNA. RefSeq lists it as uncharacterized. The record is from RefSeq and is a predicted model, not a curated record. The transcript has 2 exons. Lineage: Eukaryota; Viridiplantae; Streptophyta; Magnoliopsida; Malpighiales; Salicaceae.